RNAcentral lists this ribosomal RNA (794 nucleotides) under uncultured bacterium. RNAcentral's name for it is "bacterial SSU rRNA". It matches the Rfam family "Bacterial small subunit ribosomal RNA", at positions 8 to 796 of the family's 1533-position model. The record is from RNAcentral.
AGAGUUUGAUCCUGGCUCAGGAUGAACGCUAGCGGCAGGCCUAACACAUGCAAGUCGAGGGGUAACAGGGAGCUUGCUCCGCUGACGACCGGCGCACGGGUGCGCACCGCGUAUGGAACCUGCCCUCCGCAGGGGAAUAGCCCAGGGAAACUUGGAUUAAUGCCCCGUAGCAUCACGCCCCCGCAUGGGCGGCGUGAUUAGAGCCUUCGGGCGGCGGAGGAUGGCCAUGCGUCCCAUUAGCUUGAUGGUAGGGUAACGGCCUACCAUGGCCGCGAUGGGUAGGGGCCCUGAGAGGGGGAUCCCCCACACUGGUACUGAGACACGGACCAGACUCCUACGGGAGGCAGCAGUGAGGAAUAUUGGACAAUGGGCGGGAGCCUGAUCCAGCCAUGCCGCGUGCAGGAAGAAUGCCCUAUGGGUAGUAAACUGCUUUUAUACGGGAAGAACAAGGGGUACGUGUACCCUUCUGACGGUACCGUAAGAAUAAGGACCGGCUAACUCCGUGCCAGCAGCCGCGGUAAUACGGAGGGUCCGAGCGUUAUCCGGAAUCAUUGGGUUUAAAGGGUCCGUAGGCGGGCCGUUAAGUCAGGGGUGAAAGUCUGCGGCUCAACCGUAGAAAUGCCUUUGAUACUGGCGGUCUUGAGUCAUGGUGAAGUUGCCGGAAUAUGUAGUGUAGCGGUGAAAUGCAUAGAUAUUACAUAGAACACCGAUUGCGAAGGCAGGUGGCUAACCAUUGACUGACGCUGAUGGACGAAAGCGUGGGGAGCGAACAGGAUUAGAUACCCUAGUAGUCC